This 497-nucleotide ribosomal RNA is filed under the name uncultured bacterium. RNAcentral's name for it is "partial 16S ribosomal RNA". It matches the Rfam family "Bacterial small subunit ribosomal RNA", at positions 28 to 507 of the family's 1533-position model. The record is from RNAcentral.
GAUGAACGCUGGCGGCGUGCCUAAUACAUGCAAGUCGAGCGAACAGACGAGGAGCUUGCUCCUCUGACGUUAGCGGCGGACGGGUGAGUAACACGUGGAUAACCUACCUAUAAGACUGGGAUAACUUCGGCAAACCAGAGCUAAUACCGGAUAAUAUAUCGAACUGCAUGGUUCAAUAGUGAAAGACGGUUUUGCUGUCACUUAUAGACUGAUCCGCGCCGCAUUAGUUAGUUGUUAAGGUACCAGCUUACCAAGGCAAGGAUGCGUAGCCGACCUGAGAGGGUGAUUGGCCACACUGGAACUGAGACACGGUCCAGACUCCGACGGGAGGCAGCAGUAGGGAAUCUUCCGCAAGGCGCGAAAGGCUGACGGAGCAACGCCGCGUAAAUGAUGAAGGACUUAGGCUCGGAAAACGCUGUUAUUAGGGAGGAACAAAAGUGUAAGUACCUAUGCACGUCUUGACGGUACCUAAUCAGAAAGCCACGGCUAACUACGUG